CGUCUAUAUACGUAUAGCAUAUCAAUAAGCGGAGGAAAAGAAACUAACAAGGAUUCCCUUAGUAACGGCGAGUGAAGCGGGAAGAGCUCAAAUUUGAAAUCUUCAAGGUUCUACCUUGACGAAUUGUAGUUUAAAGAAGUGUUUUCUGUUAGAGGAGUAGCAAAAGUUCCUUGGAAUAGGGACAUCAUAGAGGGUGAGAAUCCCGUAUUUGGUUAUUCUUUCUAGCUGUGUGAUACACUUUCAGAGAGUCGGAUUGUUUGGGAAUGCAGUCCAAAAUGGGUGGUAAAUUUCAUCUAAAGCUAAAUAUUGGCGAGAGACCGAUAGCGAACAAGUACCGUGAGGGAAAGAUGAAAAGAACUUUGAAAAGAGAGUUAAACAGUACGUGAAAUUGUCAAAAGGGAAGCGUUUGACACCAGUGUUGUUUUUCCGAAAAUCAAUUAAGAGUGGCUUGAUUUUGUGUUGUAUUGACCUUAUCAGCUUUCUUCACUCUUUUUCGAGUCUUUCUUAAUGCACUUUUCGGUUAACAAGUCAACAUCAAUUUCUUUUGUUGUAAAAGGGUAUUUGGAAGGUGGCUUUCUUUUCGGAGAAAGUGUUUAUAGCCUUAUACCUCUACAAUCGGAGAGAUUGAGGUCUGCAGCGUAGAUCCUUCGGGGCUAGAUACACUUGUGCUAAGUUAUAGCUUUUCAUAGACAACUUGUUGACUAUGUUUAGUCAUGUAGCUUACCCGCUUGUGCUAUUCUACCUACGCUUAGGAUGUUGAGUCAUCACACAUCUAU
This 776-nucleotide ribosomal RNA is filed under the name uncultured Neocallimastigales. RNAcentral's name for it is "partial large subunit ribosomal RNA". It matches the Rfam family "Eukaryotic large subunit ribosomal RNA", at positions 26 to 614 of the family's 3401-position model. Lineage: Eukaryota; Fungi; Neocallimastigomycota; Neocallimastigomycetes; Neocallimastigales. The record is from RNAcentral.